AAUAUUGGUAAAUGGAGUCAACUCUGAACCAGCCACGUCGCUUCAAGGAUGACGGCCCUACUGGUUGUAAACUUCACUUAUACAGGAAUAAAGUGAGUCCCGUGUGACUUUUUGCAUGUACUGUAUGACUAAGCAUUGGCUAACUCCGUGCCAUCAGCCGCGGUAAUACGGAGGAUCCAAGCGUUAUCCGGAUUUAUUGGGUUUAAAGGUUGCGCAGGCGGAAGAUUAAGUCGGCGGUGAAAUUUUGCAGCUCAACUGUAAAAGUGCCAUCGAUACUGGUUUUCUUGAGUGUGGAUGAAGUAGGCGGAAUUUGUGGUGUAGCGGUGAAAUGCAUAGAUAUCACGAGGAACUCCGAUUGCGCAGGCAGCUUACUAGGCCAUAACUGACGCUCAGGCACGAAGGCGUGGGGAUCAAACAGG
Molecule: ribosomal RNA, 419 nt
Filed under: uncultured bacterium
Lineage: Bacteria
Description: partial 16S ribosomal RNA
Rfam family: Bacterial small subunit ribosomal RNA
Source: RNAcentral